RNAcentral lists this ribosomal RNA (1150 nucleotides) under Lacticaseibacillus casei. RNAcentral describes it as "bacterial SSU rRNA". It matches the Rfam family "Bacterial small subunit ribosomal RNA", at positions 34 to 1143 of the family's 1533-position model. Lineage: Bacteria; Bacillati; Bacillota; Bacilli; Lactobacillales; Lactobacillaceae. The record is from RNAcentral.
CGUGGCGGCGUGCCUAUACUGCAAGUCGAACGAGUUCUCGUUGAUGAUCGGUGCUUGCACCGAGAUUCAACAUGGAACGAGUGGCGGACGGGUGAGUAACACGUGGGUAACCUGCCCUUAAGUGGGGGAUAACAUUUGGAAACAGAUGCUAAUACCGCAUAGAUCCAAGAACCGCAUGGUUCUUGGCUGAAAGAUGGCGUAAGCUAUCGCUUUUGGAUGGACCCGCGGCGUAUUAGCUAGUUGGUGAGGUAAUGGCUCACCAAGGCGAUGAUACGUAGCCGAACUGAGAGGUUGAUCGGCCACAUUGGGACUGAGACACGGCCCAAACUCCUACGGGAGGCAGCAGUAGGGAAUCUUCCACAAUGGACGCAAGUCUGAUGGAGCAACGCCGCGUGAGUGAAGAAGGCUUUCGGGUCGUAAAACUCUGUUGUUGGAGAAGAAUGGUCGGCAGAGUAACUGUUGUCGGCGUGACGGUAUCCAACCAGAAAGCCACGGCUAACUACGUGCCAGCAGCCGCGGUAAUACGUAGGUGGCAAGCGUUAUCCGGAUUUAUUGGGCGUAAAGCGAGCGCAGGCGGUUUUUUAAGUCUGAUGUGAAAGCCCUCGGCUUAACCGAGGAAGCGCAUCGGAAACUGGGAAACUUGAGUGCAGAAGAGGACAGUGGAACUCCAUGUGUAGCGGUGAAAUGCGUAGAUAUAUGGAAGAACACCAGUGGCGAAGGCGGCUGUCUGGUCUGUAACUGACGCUGAGGCUCGAAAGCAUGGGUAGCGAACAGGAUUAGAUACCCUGGUAGUCCAUGCCGUAAACGAUGAAUGCUAGGUGUUGGAAGGGUUUCCGCCCUUCAGUGCCGCAGCUAACGCAUUAAGCAUUCCGCCUGGGGGAGUACGACCGCAAGGUUGAAACUCAAAGGAAUUGACGGGGGCCCGCACAAGCGGUGGAGCAUGGUGGUUUAAUUCGAAGCAACGCGAAGAACCUUACCAGGUCUUGACAUCUUUUGAUCACCUGAGAAGAUCAGGUUUCCCCUUCGGGGGCAAAAUGACAGGUGGGGGCAAGGGUUGUCCUCAGCUCCUGUCGUGAGAAGUUUGGGGUUAAUUCCCCCCACCAAGCGCACCCCUUAUUAAUAGUUGCCAGCAUUUAGUUGGGCACCCUAC